GAUUGAACGCUGGCGGCAUGCUUUACACAUGCAAGUCGAACGGUAACAGCACUUCGGUGGCUGACGAGUGGCGAACGGGUGAGUAAUACAUCGGAACGUGCCUAGUAGUGGGGGAUAACUACUCGAAAGAGUAGCUAAUACCGCAUGAGAUCUAAGGAUGAAAGCAGGGGACCUUCGGGCCUUGCGCUACUAGAGCGGCUGAUGGCAGAUUAGGUAGUUGGUGGGAUAAAAGCUUACCAAGCCGACGAUCUGUAGCUGGUCUGAGAGGACGACCAGCCACACUGGGACUGAGACACGGCCCAGACUCCUACGGGAGGCAGCAGUGGGGAAUUUUGGACAAUGGGCGCAAGCCUGAUCCAGCAAUGCCGCGUGCAGGAUGAAGGCCUUCGGGUUGUAAACUGCUUUUGUACGGAACGAAAAGCCCUCUUCUAAUACAGGAGGGUCAUGACGGUACCGUAAGAAUAAGCACCGGCUAACUACGUG
This 483-nucleotide ribosomal RNA is filed under the name uncultured bacterium. Its description in RNAcentral is "partial 16S ribosomal RNA". It matches the Rfam family "Bacterial small subunit ribosomal RNA", at positions 27 to 507 of the family's 1533-position model. The record is from RNAcentral.